Molecule: ribosomal RNA, 392 nt
Filed under: uncultured bacterium
Lineage: Bacteria
Description: partial 16S ribosomal RNA
Rfam family: Bacterial small subunit ribosomal RNA
Source: RNAcentral
AUACGGAGGAUGCGAGCGUUAUCCGGAUUUAUUGGGUUUAAAGGGUGCGCAGGCGGCCAUUUAAGUCAGCGGUUAAAUCGUGGGGCUCAACCCCAUUCUGCCGUUGAUACUGGGUGGCUUGAUUGCGGUCGAGGUUGGCGGAAUUCGUUGUGUAGCGGUGAAAUGCAUAGAUAUGACGAAGAACACCGAUUGCGUAGGCAGCUGACCAGACCGCAAAUGACGCUCAUGCACGAAAGUGCGGGGAUCGAACAGGAUUAGAUACCCUGGUAUUCCGCACAGUAAACGAUGAAUACUUGUUUUCGGCGAUAUAAUGUCGGAGGCAAAGCGAAAGCGAUAAGUAUUCCACCUGGGGAGUACGCUGGCAACGGUGAAACUCAAAUGAAUUGACGGGG